GGAUGUGAGCACAGUGUGGUUGUGACAUGUGUCAGUCCAACUGAUGCCAAGGUUGAGCAAAAUGAUCUGGCUAGUUAGGCAGAUCUCUCUUUCCUCCCUCAGCACUCUAUAUGCACCCUUCCCCGAACUGCAAACUCAGUGGAAGAGGACCACCUUUCUAGCAUUGGCAGGUCUUCUAUCUAGGGUAUACAAAUAGCUGCAACUCUCCUUUUAGAACUUCUAAAUAAACUCUCUGUAUGGACCCAGGUCCCUUAGUAGUUCCAUCAUCCAAAACAGUUUAUACAGUAGUUAUGUGCUUCAUC
Unclassified non-coding RNA from Erinaceus europaeus (western European hedgehog), 302 nucleotides. Its record names the gene 7SK. It matches the Rfam family "7SK RNA". Rfam says of the family: 7SK was discovered as an abundant small nuclear RNA in the mid-70s but a possible function has only recently been suggested. Two independent studies have found that 7SK RNA binds the CDK9/cyclin T complex (known as elongation factor P-TEFb). The record is from Ensembl. Lineage: Eukaryota; Metazoa; Chordata; Mammalia; Eulipotyphla; Erinaceidae.